Molecule: small RNA, 1713 nt
Filed under: Pongo abelii (Sumatran orangutan)
Lineage: Eukaryota; Metazoa; Chordata; Mammalia; Primates; Hominidae
Description: retained intron
Source: RNAcentral
CGGUGCAGUGUCAGGUCCCCCAGCGCUGCGGACAACCAGUACCCAAAAGAAGCCGAGCUGGAGCUAAAGAUCGCGGCGCCGGAGCCAUCUGACCGGUUUUGAGACCUCCAGCUCGUCGCCGUCCUGGCUGCGAGAGCUUGGGCACGGCGCCGAGGCUCAGUCUCCUCUUCUGUGAAAUGGCGAUAACUGUAUGUGCCAGGUGACUGCACGUGGCGCGCGGCGGGUGGCGGGGAUGGCAGCGGUGCGAUCCCACGCCUCCAGGACCCCACCUUCCCGCGGCCCCCGAUCGGCCCCGCCCCGGGGGCGCCCCAGCUGCACGCGCGGCGCUGGCUCCAAAGUGCGUCACGGGCACCGGCCGCGCUCCUUCUGCCGCCAGGGCGAGGCUGGCACCCGGCCAGCGCGGGCAGGGCCACUGGUGCCCGGCUGUUUCCCGGGUGUGGAAGGCGCUCAAGGUGCGCGGCCCGGGACGCGCUACUGGGGGCGCCCUCCGCGGCGGGCAGCGCGCCAGGGAUCGGCCUGGGCAGCCGCUGGGCGCGCGAAGGCUGCGCUUUCCCUACGGCCCCCCUAGCUUCCUCCGGCACGGCGGCAGCGGAGAUUUCCUCUCGGGGAAACUACGCGGAUCCUUUUCGGGUAUCCUCGCCCCGCCCCAGUUCUCCGCCCCCUCCCCUUUGCUGGGACGCCUGGGCUGGCCCGCGCAGGGGAGGAGGCUCUGGCAGCCUGGGCAGGGAGGCGGCGGGGGGCCGCGGAGCCGCUGGCCAUCGAUUCUCCCCGCCAUGUGACGCCGUCCUUAGCCCUGCGACCCCCAGCGCGUCCCGGGCCUGCGCCCCCGCCCCGCCGCGCAGCGCACCAUGCUUCUGCCGGGACCAGCACGCCAGCCGCCGACGCCCCAGCCCGCACAGCAUCCCGGCCUCCGCCGGCAGGUAGAGCCGCCCGGGCAGCUCCUGCGCCUCUUCUACUGCACUGUCCUGGUCUGCUCCAAAGAGAUCUCAGCGCUCACCGACUUCUCUGGUUACCUAACCAAACUCCUGCAAAACCACACCACCUAUGCCUGUGAUGGGGACUAUUUGAAUCUACAGUGCCCUCGGCAUUCUACGAUAAGUGUCCAAUCGGCAUUUUAUGGGCAAGAUUACCAAAUGUGUAGUUCCCAGAAGCCUGCCUCCCAGAGGGAAGACAGCUUAACCUGUGUGGCAGCCACCACCUUCCAGAAGGUGCUGGACGAAUGCCAGAACCAGCGGGCCUGCCACCUCCUGGUCAAUAGCCGUGUUUUUGGACCUGACCUUUGUCCAGGAAGCAGUAAAUACCUCCUGGUCUCCUUUAAAUGCCAACCUAAUGAAUUAAAAAACAAAACCGUGUGUGAAGACCAGGAGCUGAAACUGCACUGCCAUGAAUCCAAGUUCCUCAACAUCUACUCUGCGACCUACGGCAGGAGGACCCAGGAAAGGGACAUCUGCUCCUCCGAGGCAGAGCGGCUCCCCCCUUUUGGUAUGUGCUUUUGUAUGUGUAUUAGCCAGGGUUCUCUAGAGGGACAGAAUUAAUAGGAGAUAUAUAUAUAUAUAUAUGAUAUAUAUAUAUAUCCUAUAUGAUUGUGGAAGUCAAUACUUAACACAAUCACGAUCUUGUGAUCAUGUAAGUUAAUACUUAAUAAACUCCCAUAUGUGUGUGCGUGUAUGUAUAUAUAUACAUAUAUAUAUAAAAAUGCUUGUAAACAGUAAU